AUAAGUUUCUUCUAGAAAAAAAAAGAAGAAACUAUUUUAAGCUUGUUAUUAUUGAAUUGAAAAAAAAAAGUCUAUUAUCAUUUUUUAUUAAUCCAAGUUAAUUAUUUUAAGGUUAUUAUUUUAAUUUUUAUUAAUCGAACAUUGUUAACUAAAAUUUGUAUGAAGAAACAAUAAUGUGUCUCUAAAAAAGAAAAAAAAUUGAUUAUUACUCUUUUUUUUUAGCAAUGUAAAGUUCAUCACAAAAAAAAAAAUUAAUUAGAUACUAAAUAAUUCGUCUUUGAAAAAAUGAUCACGAAAUACAAUAUUAUUCAAGACAAAAUUUUAGACUACUAUUUUCUAGUUUUGUUACAAUAAAUAAUUAUCUGUGACAAAAAAAUAGGGUCUCAAAAUUAAUCAAAACCAUAUUAUCUUCGAGACUAAUAUUUUUUUUGUCACAAAUUGUUUGAUCAAUUUCACAUCUCUCCUUCAAUUACGAAAUAAUUACGUCACCUAUAAUAAAAUUUUGCUACCAUAUUUUUGGUCAUAAAAGAUGAUAUUUAGUUAGAAAAUGAUCAAUUUUGGAGGGAAUUUUUUGCGCUAAAAUAAGUAUAUCCUUUUGCAACUAAUUUUAUGUUUGUGGGAAUUUUUUGCGCUAAAAUAAGUAUAUCCUUUUGCAACUAAUUUUAUGUUUGUGGGAAUUUUUUGCGCUAAAAUAAGUAUAUCCUUUUGCAACUAAUUUUAUGUUUGUCACAAACAUUUGAUUAGGUGACUAAUUAAUGGGUCCUAAAACAAUUAUUAUUGGUUACAAAAUAUAACAUGAGCCAAGACAAAAUUAUUGGCUACAAUUUCAAAAAAUCGUCAUAAUAAGUACUAUUUUAUGACAAAAUUUGUAAAAGUCAUAAAAAAAAUUGUCUUAAAAAGUUAAAUUUCUUGUAGUGACCCAACAACCUCCUUAUUUCUAGGCUUAUGGGCAGCGGUUGCUUUGUUCCUUGGGAGAGUGGAGAUGUGCUCCCUUGUACAUGCUUACUGGGUGCCUAGUUUUGUGGGAGCUCACCUUAGCAAAUGGAGGUGACAUUUGCAAUGUGUAUAUUUAGUGGAAGUGAGUGUGUGUUUUGGGAUGGAAAAUUUUGAGAGAGAGUGACAUCCUCUAAACAUGCAUAGCUUCAUAUUAGGUUGUAACUUUUCUUAUUGAGGGAAAUAGAAAAGUUGGAAACUGGUGUCUUCGUAAAUAUAAUCUUUUGUAUGGGUUGGUUUUUCUUUGUUGAAGCGAAAAAUCAUGGGGUGCGCAUUAGCACAUAACCUCCAUUGGUGUUGUUGAGUGGCUGGUCAAGCGAGGCUUGGCACCAUCAUAGGCUUGUCGCAUCUUGAGAAAAGACGUGUGACACUAACCUUGUGGCACUUAAUUCUAUGUUGUUAUUGUUUAUUUGAUUACGUGCGUGGAGGUUUGAACGGCAACUAUAGGAUCGCUUCACGAUGAACUUCAGAUGUGCAAGACUAAGGGACGCCUAGCACGAUUUGGGCCAACAUUCGUAAACUCAGGAAGGGGCACGGAAGAGAGAACAUUUUGGUUUAUAUUUUACUCAUAUACAUAUGAGUAAUUAUAUACAAACCUUUCAUGCCUUUACUAACUUUUUCACGUGGGACAAAUGUAUUUUCCUUUAAUUUUCCAAUUCCAUGAAUUUAAUUUGCGUAACAAUUUCUCAUUUAUCCAAUUUGAUCAUGUAGAGAAAACCAUUAUGAAGUAUUUAUGGAGGAAUAUUUGAAACAAUUUUAACCUUUCACUUACACUAGGUAGGUCUGACUCAAAAUUACACCUCAAAUAGCCACUUGUGCUAUAUUUCUAACAGUUUCUACAUCUUUUCCUUAUUUGAUUGCAUGCAAAAAAAUUGAGUGCAAUGAAAUUUUUAUCUUCUUUCGUCUAUGAUGUUUUGGUGUAAAAAAAAAUAAAAAUAAAAAUGAGCCCAUGAACUUCCAUAGUUUGUAUGUUACAAAAGGAGUUUUGUAACUAUUU
RNAcentral lists this long non-coding RNA (1990 nucleotides) under Citrus x clementina. RNAcentral's name for it is "Citrus clementina (C. clementina) long non-coding RNA (CCLE_LNC003355)". Lineage: Eukaryota; Viridiplantae; Streptophyta; Magnoliopsida; Sapindales; Rutaceae. The record is from RNAcentral.